Molecule: long non-coding RNA, 674 nt
Organism: Mya arenaria
Lineage: Eukaryota; Metazoa; Mollusca; Bivalvia; Myida; Myidae
Exons: 3
Source: RefSeq, a predicted model, not a curated record
GUGGAAAUCAGCUUUUUUCAGUGAACGGAUUGCGUUUGAUCUGCGCGUUCAUAGCAAUAUUAUAGUCAGAAGUUUUAGGCCUAACAAGACCGGUGAAAGUGUAUUCGUCACAAUGGCUUGGAUACAGUUUUGCCUCAUUGCAUUUCUACUUCCAUGGAUCGACUCUGAUUCAGACAUGUAUGCGUGCCAUAAACGAUACAAGUUCUUCUGUAACACGUCGCGGGAGUACAUCCACAAGUUUUCUUUAUGUAACGGAUAUAUAGGGGAUAUUAUGAUAGGACGCUUUUCUGGUGACCUGUAUCACGUCGAGUUCGGUGUGUAAACACGUAUCCAACGGGACCGCAGGUCGGGACGGAUACAUGUUUACUCAAAAAGUGACAAAAAUCAAUGCUGUUAUUAUAAGUCUACACACCGAAUUCUUACUAUUGAAGCGACUGUGUCGCUGAUUAAAACUUUUUAAACUUCAACCGCCAAAGUAAUGGACACACUAAUGAGUGAAUACUAAUGACGUCACUCAGUUAUGACAUUGAUCUUAUUAAUGAUUUACUUGAUUUAAAUAUAUUUGAAUAUGUAGUUUUGUUGUUUAUAAGUGGAACCUUUGUAAAUCAGUUGAUAAUUGAGUCAUGUUUCAAGUUUUGUUUUAUUGUAAUUAAAAAGGUUUUUUUAUGUCGGAC